RNAcentral lists this ribosomal RNA (1048 nucleotides) under Procambarus dupratzi. Its description in RNAcentral is "16S ribosomal RNA". The stretch from base 400 to 1048 matches the Rfam family "Archaeal large subunit ribosomal RNA", at positions 1423 to 2769 of the family's 2987-position model. Lineage: Eukaryota; Metazoa; Arthropoda; Malacostraca; Decapoda; Cambaridae. The record is from RNAcentral.
CUCGAAAAGGAGAUAGUUAAAUUAAGGAAUAAGUUUUUGUAGAAUAAAAAUUUGUAAUCUUAUUUUAGGAGUGAAAUAUUAAUCGAGUUCCUUGAUAUCUAGUUUUUUAAGAAAUAUAUUUAAAUUGGCAUUUUCAUAAAAUUUAUGGAAGUAGUGAGAAUAGAAGGGAAUAGCUUUUUAUUAUUUAAGGUUAUAAAUGAAUAUAUUUGGGGGAUUUAACUAAGCUUAAAAUUAGCUAGGUUUAUAGUGUGUUUUAAUUAAAAUCUGAGUUAAUAGUAUUUAUAUAUUUUUUAAUUGUUUAUUAGAAAUUAUUUAAUAAUAGAGUAGGGUAGUUAUAAUGAAUAUAUUAGUAUAUUAUAGUGUGUAAUAUUAAUUUAAAUUAAUAUAAGGAGUUUAUAAGAGUUUCGAUUUUUUUUAGGAAUUCGGCAAAAUUUAUUUCUGCCUGUUUAACAAAAACAUGUCUUUAUGAAGGUUUAUAAAGUCUAACCUGCCCAUUGGAAUCUAAAAGGCCGCGGUAUUGUGACCGUGCAAAGGUAGCAUAAUCAUUAGUUUUUUAAUUGAAGGCUAGAAUGAAUGGUUGGACAAGAAAUAAUCUGUCUUAAUUGAAAAUAUUGAAUUUAACUUUUAAGUGAAAAGGCUUAAAUAAUUUGGAGGGACGAUAAGACCCUAUAAAACUUUAUAUUUGGGGAUAGUAGUUAAUUUUGUUUUAUUUUAUUAUUUAAAAGUAUUUGGUUGGGGCGACGAGAAUAUAAUAUAUAAUAACUGUUCUUAUUUAUAACAAUGCUAUUUGGUUUUAUGAUCCUGAUAAUGGAUUAAAGAUUAAGUUACUUUAGGGAUAACAGCGUAAUUUUUUUUAAGAGUUCUUAUCGACAAAAAAGUUUGCGACCUCGAUGUUGAAUUAAAAGUUCUUUAUAAAGUAGAGAUUAUAAGAGAGGGUCUGUUCGACCUUUAAAAUUUUACAUGAUUUGAGUUCAGACCGGUGUGAGCCAGGUUGGUUUCUAUCUUCCAGGGUAAGGUAAAAUUAUUUUAGUACGAAAGGAUUAAAUAA